UAUUAUUUUUUACAACAGUCCUAUUCGGAAGACAUAACGAAAAGUUAUCAAAUGAGGUUAUGAGUUCUCUUUAUUUUUUGAAGUAUAUAUUAUGUAAUAUUUCAUAAUAUUUUCAUAUACAGCAAGCAUGUUUUUCCAUACCAGAUUAGUAUUUAUACUACAAAUACGUUUCUCGUACCAAAAGGGGAGUAGCGGCUCUUGAUCUCCGUAUCCUAAUCAUCCUACGGCAGUGGUUUUCUCGGCCUUGAUGGUAAUUAAAUGGUUGGCAAGGGGCUAUUAACCGGCCAAAAAUCGAGACGGAGCCCUAAGCCGGAAGGAGACCAGUUUUCCCGGCUCCAUCGAAGGAUUGGCUGAUACAAGAUGAAGCGGUCUGCGGAGGAUGGAUAUAUGCUGGCUAACUGCUUUUGUAACAGAGGCAAAUAUGGGCAUACAGGAGUAAGGGAGCAUGAUCUGAUAUUACUGACGCUGCACUGAAAGCUUGCUAAGAAGAAAUAGAGGAGCUCCUUGUUAUCACUUUUAUGCUCCAACAAUGUAAUUAUAUAUUUGUAAGAUAUCAAUGUUUUUUUACAGUUGAUCACUAUAAAUUUGACUGUAGUGAUGAUGAUUGUGGAAGCAGCAAGGUUCACUGAUAUCUUGUUGUAAUUGUGUGGUUAUCAUACAAUCAUCCUUGAUCAUGACUUUGUUUGAAUGCAUUACUUUUUUACUUUUA
Musa acuminata AAA Group (dessert banana) is the source of this 709-nucleotide long non-coding RNA. RefSeq lists it as uncharacterized. NCBI's taxonomy places the organism in Eukaryota, Viridiplantae, Streptophyta, Magnoliopsida, Zingiberales, Musaceae. The transcript is spliced from 2 exons. The record is from RefSeq and is a predicted model, not a curated record.